CCCCUCUUAGGGUUGCACCUGGAGAGUUUCCAGGGCUUUACCAGUCUUGACUAAGGGAGGGAGAGUCAAGCAGAGACAUACGCAUUCCAUUCCUAGCUUGGGCAGUGGCUAGCCAAUGGAAGGCAAUCUGCUGCAAGU
Molecule: non-coding RNA, 138 nt
Organism: Ornithorhynchus anatinus (platypus)
Lineage: Eukaryota; Metazoa; Chordata; Mammalia; Monotremata; Ornithorhynchidae
Source: Rfam